AGUCGAACGCUUCUUUUUCCACCGGAGCUUGCUCCACCGGAAAAAGAGGAGUGGCGAACGGGUGAGUAACACGUGGGUAACCUGCCCAUCAGAAGGGGAUAACACUUGGAAACAGGUGCUAAUACCGUAUAACAAUCGAAACCGCAUGGUUUUGAUUUGAAAGGCGCUUUCGGGUGUCGCUGAUGGAUGGACCCGCGGUGCAUUAGCUAGUUGGUGAGGUAACGGCUCACCAAGGCCACGAUGCAUAGCCGACCUGAGAGGGUGAUCGGCCACAUUGGGACUGAGACACGGCCCAAACUCCUACGGGAGGCAGCAGUAGGGAAUCUUCGGCAAUGGACGAAAGUCUGACCGAGCAACGCCGCGUGAGUGAAGAAGGUUUUCGGAUCGUAAAACUCUGUUGUUAGAGAAGAACAAGGAUGAGAGUAACUGUUCAUCCCUUGACGGUAUCUAACCAGAAAGCCACGGCUAACUACGUGCCAGCAGCCGCGGUAAUACGUAGGUGGCAAGCGUUGUCCGGAUUUAUUGGGCGUAAAGCGAGCGCAGGCGGUUUCUUAAGUCUGAUGUGAAAGCCCCCGGCUCAACCGGGGAGGGUCAUUGGAAACUGGGAGACUUGAGUGCAGAAGAGGAGAGUGGAAUUCCAUGUGUAGCGGUGAAAUGCGUAGAUAUAUGGAGGAACACCAGUGGCGAAGGCGGCUCUCUGGUCUGUAACUGACGCUGAGGCUCGAAAGCGUGGGGAGCAAACAGGAUUAGAUACCCUGGUAGUCCACGCCGUAAACGAUGAGUGCUA
This 787-nucleotide ribosomal RNA is filed under the name uncultured bacterium. Its description in RNAcentral is "bacterial SSU rRNA". It matches the Rfam family "Bacterial small subunit ribosomal RNA", at positions 60 to 818 of the family's 1533-position model. The record is from RNAcentral.